AGUGAACGCUGGCGGUAGGCCUAACACAUGCAAGUCGAACGGCAGCACAGUAAGAGCUUGCUCUUACGGGUGGCGAGUGGCGGACGGGUGAGGAAUACAUCGGAAUCUACUUUUUCGUGGGGGAUAACGUAGGGAAACUUACGCUAAUACCGCAUACGACCUACGGGUGAAAGCAGGGGAUCUUCGGACCUUGCGCGAUUGAAUGAGCCGAUGUCGGAUUAGCUAGUUGGCGGGGUAAAGGCCCACCAAGGCGACGAUCCGUAGCUGGUCUGAGAGGAUGAUCAGCCACACUGGAACUGAGACACGGUCCAGACUCCUACGGGAGGCAGCAGUGGGGAAUAUUGGACAAUGGGCGCAAGCCUGAUCCAGUCAUACCGCGUGGGUUAAGAAGGCCUUCGGGUUGUAAAGCCCUUUUGUUGGGAAAGAAAAGCAGCAGGUUAAUACCCCGCUGUUCUGACGGUACCCAAAGAAUAAGCACCGGCUAACUUCGUG
This 492-nucleotide ribosomal RNA is filed under the name uncultured bacterium. RNAcentral's name for it is "partial 16S ribosomal RNA". It matches the Rfam family "Bacterial small subunit ribosomal RNA", at positions 29 to 507 of the family's 1533-position model. The record is from RNAcentral.